UCCCAUUCCGAGGCUCGAUAAAGGCUUCUACCGACAUUAAAACCAAGAUAUUUAACGGGAAAAUCGCCCCUUCUACACUUGAGCAAAGCUGCCAUUUCUUCGCCCAGCUGUGGAUCCCAACCAAUGCCGAAGAUGCUGCAUUUAUCAAAAUUAACCGAGAGCCCCGAAAGCAUCUCAAACAAGUGGAGGAUACACUUGAA
Molecule: long non-coding RNA, 200 nt
Filed under: Salvia miltiorrhiza (redroot sage)
Lineage: Eukaryota; Viridiplantae; Streptophyta; Magnoliopsida; Lamiales; Lamiaceae
Description: long non-coding RNA (SMIL_LNC013992)
Source: RNAcentral